Molecule: transfer RNA, 61 nt
Filed under: Anaspis sp. ANA02
Lineage: Eukaryota; Metazoa; Arthropoda; Insecta; Coleoptera; Scraptiidae
Description: tRNA-Leu
Source: RNAcentral
UCUAAUAUGGCAGAUUAGUGCGAUGGACUUAAACCCCUUAUAUAAAGAAAUUUUGUUAGAA